Molecule: ribosomal RNA, 253 nt
Filed under: uncultured bacterium
Lineage: Bacteria
Description: partial 16S ribosomal RNA
Rfam family: Bacterial small subunit ribosomal RNA
Source: RNAcentral
UACAGAGGUGGCAAGCGUUGCUCGGAAUCACUGGGCGUAAAGGGCGCGUAGGCGGCCAUUCAAGUCAGAGGUGAAAGCCCAAGGCUCAACCUUGGAACUGCCUUUGAUACUGUUUGGCUUGAGACCGGUAGAGGUAAGUGGAACUGCGAGUGUAGAGGUGAAAUUCGUAGAUAUUCGCAAGAACACCAGUGGCGAAGGCGGCUUACUGGACCGGUUCUGACGCUGAGGCGCGAAAGCGUGGGGAGCAAACAGG